Non-coding RNA from Oryctolagus cuniculus (rabbit), 47 nucleotides. Lineage: Eukaryota; Metazoa; Chordata; Mammalia; Lagomorpha; Leporidae. The record is from Rfam.
CAAAAGGAUUUCUUGAAAAUCCACAAAUACUUUGGGUAAAGAAAUCU